UACGUAGGGUGCGAGCGUUGUCCGGAAUUAUUGGGCGUAAAGGGCUCGUAGGCGGUUUGUCGCGUCGGGGGUGAAAACCCAGGGCUUAACCCUGGGCUGGCUUCCGAUACGGGCAGACUAGAGGUAUGCAGGGGAGAACGGAAUUCCUGGUGUAGCGGUGAAAUGCGCAGAUAUCAAGAGGAACACCUGAGGUGAAGACGGGUUGCUGGGCUGACACUGACGCUGAGGCGCGAAAGCUAGGGUAGCAAACGGG
Molecule: ribosomal RNA, 253 nt
Filed under: uncultured bacterium
Lineage: Bacteria
Description: partial 16S ribosomal RNA
Rfam family: Bacterial small subunit ribosomal RNA
Source: RNAcentral